GACGAACGCUGGCGGCGUGCCUAAUACAUGCAAGUCGAACGCACAGUUUAUACCGUAGCUUGCUCCACCAUAGACUGUGAGUUGCGAACGGGUGAGUAACGCGUAGGUAACCUGCCUGGUAGCGGGGGAUAACUAUUGGAAACGAUAGCUAAUACCGCAUAAUAUUAAUUAUUGCAUGAUAAUUAAUUGAAAGGUGCAAUUGCACCACUACCAGAUGGACCUGCGUUGUAUUAGCUAGUAGGUGAGGUAACGGCUCACCUAGGCGACGAUACAUAGCCGACCUGAGAGGGUGAUCGGCCACACUGGGACUGAGACACGGCCCAGACUCCUACGGGAGGCAGCAGUAGGGAAUCUUCGGCAAUGGACGAAAGUCUGACCGAGCAACGCCGCGUGAGUGAAGAAGGUUUUCGGAUCGUAAAGCUCUGUUGUAAGAGAAGAACGGGUGUGAGAGUGGAAAGUUCACACUGUGACGGUAUCUUACCAGAAAGGGACGGCUAACUACGUG
This 505-nucleotide ribosomal RNA is filed under the name uncultured bacterium. RNAcentral's name for it is "partial 16S ribosomal RNA". It matches the Rfam family "Bacterial small subunit ribosomal RNA", at positions 28 to 507 of the family's 1533-position model. The record is from RNAcentral.